RNAcentral lists this ribosomal RNA (1134 nucleotides) under Triticum aestivum (bread wheat). RNAcentral describes it as "partial small subunit ribosomal RNA". Lineage: Eukaryota; Viridiplantae; Streptophyta; Magnoliopsida; Poales; Poaceae. The record is from RNAcentral.
AUGGGAGAUCCAAGUAAAGAAAAAACAGGGGAUUCUAGUGUUGAUAAGAUGUAUGAAAUAUUUAGCAAACUGCUUGAGCACCAGCACCAAUCAAAGGCUGCUGCUGAGCCAGUUAAGCAUACACUUGAGCCAAAUCCAGUCAGACUAUCAGGACCUGGUGACUACAUCAGUUGGGCACGCCAUGCCAAAUUGAUUCUGAGCGCCAAUGACUAUGAUUAUUUACUUGUUGGCAAUGAAGAAAGUUUGGAGAAAGGCGGUGCAGGCAGGAAACAAAUCAAUGAUAAAGUACUAGUAUGGCUGUUGGGAAGUAUGGAACCAAAAAUUAGAGAACAAGUGGAAGGCAUGGACACUGUUUGUGAGGUCUGGUCAUCUUUGAAGAAACAAUUUGCAGGGAAAACAAAUAAAAUGCAAGCCACCCGUAUCAUGCAUGAGUUAACUAAUUUGAAGCAGCGCUCAAGAUCUGUAACAGAGUAUGAAGGUGAAGUAAAGAAAUUAUACAGAGACUUACAUUAUCAUCACCCUUUUGAACCUGUUCACAAGGAUGACUUGGCAAUUCAUCAUGUGUGGUUUGAGUCGUUUGUGAGCAAGCUCUUUCUUGAUGGCCUAGACCAGGAACUAAACCUCCGUCGUCAAUUGAUAUUUGCAAUGCCUGAGUGGCCUAGUCUUGAUGAUAUUAUUUCUAGCAUGAUUGAGGAGGAGACUCGUUUGACACAACCGAAGGAGGAUGGUCAGGAGCGUGCAGAUGCUCGUGCUGCAUUAUCCGUACAACCUCGCCGUGCUACAAAUUCCUUUGGUAAGGUGGAUAAAAGCAAAUUGCUUUGUGACCAUUGCAAGAGAAAAGGACACACCAAGGGUGAGUGUUUUGAGUUGCAUGGUUAUCCAUCUUGGUGGGAUAAAGGGAGAUCUCAGCUAGGGGGAGCUCGGGGUUCAAACAAAAGACAAGCUAAUUACAAUGCAUCUGCAAGGGAACUACCUGUGGUAGAUAUGCAAGCUCUUGAGGAUUUCAAAUCCAAGCUCAAACUCUCCGAAGGCUCAUCUUCGUCCCAAGGUUCCUCCAAAGUUGAUUCUAGCUUUAAUACCAUCACCCAAGGAGCUUGGGACAGGGAGAGUUCUCGGGACUGGGACCAUGCAUGA